Molecule: ribosomal RNA, 254 nt
Filed under: uncultured bacterium
Lineage: Bacteria
Description: partial 16S ribosomal RNA
Rfam family: Bacterial small subunit ribosomal RNA
Source: RNAcentral
UACGUAGGGUGCGAGCGUUGUCCGGAAUUAUUGGGCGUAAAGAGCUCGUAGGCGGUGUGUCGCGUCGGUCGUGAAAACUUGGGGCUUAACCCUGAGCUUGCGGUCGAUACGGGCAUCACUGGAGUUCGGCAGGGGAGACUGGAAUUCCUGGUGUAGCGGUGAAAUGCGCAGAGAUCGGGAGGAACACCCGUAGCGAAGGCGGCGCUCUGGGCCGGUACUGACGCUGAGGAGCGAAAGCGUGGGGAGCAAACAGG